GGUGGCUAAGUGAUAGAGUAUUUGCCUUGCAUGCAUAAGGCCCUGGGUUCGAUUCCUCAGCACCA
This 65-nucleotide transfer RNA is filed under the name Dipodomys ordii (Ord's kangaroo rat). It matches the Rfam family "tRNA". Rfam says of the family: Transfer RNA (tRNA) molecules are approximately 80 nucleotides in length. Their secondary structure includes four short double-helical elements and three loops (D, anti-codon, and T loops). Lineage: Eukaryota; Metazoa; Chordata; Mammalia; Rodentia; Heteromyidae. The record is from Rfam by way of RNAcentral.